GGGGAAGUGGGAGAGAGGAGAGAAGACACCUUAGUUUCCUUUGAGAGAGUGGGGAAGAGGGGAAGUGGGAGAGGUGUACUUUAACUAUUUGCACAUCAUUACAACACUGUAUAUAGACAUAAUAAGACAUUUGACAUUGUAUUUAUUCAUUUGGUACUUUUGUGAGUGUAAUGUUUAAUGUUCAUUUUAUUUGUAUUGUUUAUUUCACUUUUGUUUAUCUAUUUCACUUGCUUUGGCAAUGAAAAACAUAUGUUUCCAGUGUCAAUAAAAACCCUUAAAUUGAAUUGAGAGAGCUGGGGAGAGGUGAGAGAGGGAGGGAGAGGUGAGAGAGGGGGGAGAGGUGAGAGAGGGGGGAGAGGUGAGAGAGGGGGGAGAGGUGAGAGAGGGAGGGAGAGGUGAGAGAGUGGGGAGAGGUGAGAGAGGGGGGAGAGGUGAGAGAGGGGGGAGAGGUGAGAGAGGGGGGAGAGGUGAGAGAGGGAGAGAGAGGUGAGAGGGGGUGGAAUAGGAGAGAUGUAGAGCUCUCAAAAACACUAACAAACAAGAGGAAGUCCAAAAGAAAUACCCUCUUGCACACACACACACACACACGCACGCACGCACACACACACACACACACACACACACGCACACACACACACACACACACACACACACACACACACACACACACACACACACACACACACACACACACACACACACGCACACACGCACACACGCACACACACACGCACACACACAUACCAACAACACCAUCAGAGUUUCAGAGGCUACUCAGUUACACACACUGACACACACACAACCAUUGUGCAGCACAAGUCCAAAUGCCGGGAAACGACGGUCAGAAAUGGACUAUUGUGCAGCACAGGGCUGAGCGGUGGUCAAAGAGGGUUAAUUGUUUCCUCACAUAAUGUGCAAGUCUGUUUCCUCAGAAUCCAAUGUGGUCCGGCAGGCUGACACACCAUGGCCAUGCUUCCAGGCCAUUCAGCAACAGCAGAACGUGACUGACAAUUACUGAAGAAGGGUAAAGUGAGGGGUUGAGAAAAACAGAUGGAGAAAGAGUCAGAGAUAGAAAGAUAGCCUGAAGCGAGAGGAUGAGGGGAGAGGGGAGAGGGGAGGGGUCAGUGACAGAGUGCUAAAACAGAUGGCUGUGUAUAACAGGCAGCUAGACAGGCAGUGGCCUUCACUGAGCCGCCAGACACUGUCCAGUCACACCGGUGUAUAUAAACCCGGCCCACGAGGUAUGGCCUGUCAACCUAUUGCUCACACUCACUGUGACUCAGAGGACUUGAAUGAAGUUGCCCAUAAACACUGAUCUGAGGACAGUGUUGAGUUUUUAACCCUAAUGAUUAAGGUGAAAUGUGUUGGUAGGGUAAGCUGAUCCUAGAUCUGCUAUAGGAAACGUCUACCAAGAGAGACUGCACAGACACACAGCUGAACCCUUUCCGCCAGUCCUACCUAAUAGGGUCUUUCAUUUACCAAUUAAGAUCACAUUAGUAUAGCUACAUAUAGGGAAUUCAGUGUGGUUAGUCCAGCUGUUCAUAUAGUUAUACUAAUGUGAAAACAUUGUGAUAGCUGACUUGAUUGCCUCUCGGGGCUAGUUUCCAGGCCUAGUCCAGGACUAACAGGUCAGUUUCCAUUAAACUGGCCCUUGGUCUUUACAAUAAACCAUUGUAAACAAACCAUGUAUAUCUUGAACAUAUGGUUAACACUAUAAGUCAUUCUUAUGGACUCUUAGUCUUGGAAUUCAUAGUCCAUCUGAAUAUGAGAGUGGUUCCAUUUCUCCCAGCCUCAUCCCUGUUUACCAAACCAAGUGGCAGGGUCAGGCUGGUCAAAUUACAGGUUGUACCUUUAACACUUCUGGGGGUGUUGCGUUAAUAUUUCAUGUUUAUGAACGUGCCCUGAUUUGUUAUGGGACUGCCAGGCACCCCUGUAGUAUAAACCUUGACUGCAUGGUGGUCCUUAUCUCACCCCUGCACUCUGGUUAAUUAUGUAAUACUACACUAAUACUACACUAACACUACACUAAUACUAAACGAACACUACACUAACACUACACUAAUACUACACUAAUACUACACUAACACUACACUAAUACUACACUAACACUAAACUAACACUACACUAACACUACACUAAUACUACACUAACACUACACCAAUACUACACUAACACUACACUAACACUACACUAACACCACACUAAUACUACACUAAUACUACACUAACACUACACUAACACUACACUAAUACUACACCAAUACUACACUAACACUGCACUAAUACUACACUAAUACUACACUAACACUACACUAAUACUACACGAACACUACACUAACACUACACUAAUACUACACUAAUACUACACUAACACUACACUAAUACUACACUAACACUAAACUAACACUACACUAACACUACACUAAUACUACACUAAUACUACACUAACACUACACUAACACUACACUAAUACUACACGAACACUACACUAACACUACACUAAUACUACACUAACACUACACUAAUACUACACUAACACUAACACUACACUAAUACUACACUAACACUACACCAAUACUACACUAACACUACACUAAUACAACACUAACACUACACUAAUACUACAAUAAUACUACACUAAUACUACACUAACACUACACUAACACUACACUAACACUACACUACACUAAUCCUACACGAAUACUACACUAAUACUACACUAAUACUACACUAAUACUACACUAACACUAAACUAACACUACACUAACACUACACUAAUACUACACUAACACUACACCAAUACUACACUAAUACUACACUAACACUACACUAACACUACACUAAUACUACACCAAUACUACACUAGCACUGCACUAAUACUACACUAAUACUACACUAACACUACACUAACACCACACUAAUACUACACUAACCAUACACUAACACUACACUAACACUACACUAAUACUACACUAACACUACACUAAUACUACACUAACACUACACAAAUACUACAGUAACACUACACUAAUACUACACUAACACUACACUAAUACUACACUAACACUACACUAAUACUACACUAACACCACACUAAUACUACACUAACCAUACACUAACACUACACUAAUACUACACUAACACUACACUAAUACUACACUAACACUACAAUAAUAAUACACUAACACUACACUAACACUACACUAAUACUACACUAAUACUACACUAACACUACACCAAUACUACACUAACACUACACUAAUACUACACUAACACUACACUAAUACUACAAUAAUACUACACUAAUACUACACUAACACUACACUACACUAAUCCUACACGAAUACUACACUAAUACUACAAUAACACUACACUAACACUACACUAACACUACACUAACACCACACUAACACUGCACUAAUACUACACUAAUACUACACUAACACAACACUACACUAACACUACACUAAUACUACACUAAUACUACACCAACACUACACUGAUACUACACUAAUACUACACUAACACUACACUAAUACUACACUAACACCACACUAACAUUACACUAAUACUACACUAACACUACACAAAUACUACACUAACACUACACUAAUACUACACUAACACUACACUAAUACUACACUAACACCACACUAAUACUACACUAACACCACACUAACAUUACACUAAUACUACACUAACACUACACCAAUACUACACUAACACUACACUAAUACUACACUAACACUACACUAAUACUACGCUAACACUACACUAACACUAACACUACACUAACACUACACUGAUACUACACUAAUACUACACUAACACCACACUAACAUUAUACUAAUACUACACUAACACUACACCAACACUACACUGAUACUACACUAACACUACACUAAUACUACACUAAUACUACACUAACACUACACUAAUACUACACGAAUACUACACGAACACUACACUAAGACUACACUAACACUACACUAACACUACACAAACACUACACUAAUACUACACUAACACUACACUAAUACUACACGAACACUACACUAACACUACACUAAGACUACACUAACACUACACUAAUACUACACAAACACUACACUAACACUACACUAAGACUACACUAAGACUACACUAACGCUACACUAACACUACACUAAUACUACACUAACACUACACUAAUACUACACUACUGUAAUAGGAUAGUGAGGCUAAGGGCUAAACCUCUGUGUGCAAGGGGUCUUCUGAGGUCACUAAGAACAUUUACUUUUAAACUCAAUUGUUCCACGUCAAUUGUGAUACAGUUGUUUAAAUCAAUGUUUAUGUAGCUGAGAGAAGUUCCUAGAAGUACCAUACUGGCUGGGUAUACUACUUUUUUACCAUGAAUUUACAUUCCAUAGUACUUCAUCUCCCAUGAUUCUGCAUGUAGACUGAGAGAAUCUGAUAGGACUGACUGGGAUGCAAGAGAUAACAGCAGCAUUAGUUCCAUUUUUGGGGUUUUGUCACUGGUUAUUUGGACAUAUCAGGAUUGGGUGAAGGCGGUACUUAAACUGCUUCGUCUUGAGUGCUUCGUGCCUGUGCCCACAUGGGGGGGGGGGGGACUUCGUUUCUGCCAGAACUCUCAAUUUGUAUGAACACAGAAGUUAACCAUGCAGCUGACUUCUGGGUUAACAGAGAUUAUAGGCUACUCUGACAAGAGUUUCACUGCAUCGCAUGCGCACGCGCGUGUGUGUGUCUGUAUGCGUUUGCACCAACGUGUGUAUAUGUGUGUGUAUGUGUUUGCACCAGCGUGUGUAUAUGUGUGUGUGUGUGUGUGUGUGUGUGUGUGUGUGUG
This 4842-nucleotide long non-coding RNA is filed under the name Salmo salar (Atlantic salmon). RNAcentral describes it as "lncRNA (ENSSSAG00000121175.1)". Lineage: Eukaryota; Metazoa; Chordata; Actinopteri; Salmoniformes; Salmonidae. The record is from RNAcentral.